This 815-nucleotide ribosomal RNA is filed under the name unidentified. RNAcentral describes it as "bacterial SSU rRNA". It matches the Rfam family "Bacterial small subunit ribosomal RNA", at positions 535 to 1348 of the family's 1533-position model. The record is from RNAcentral.
CAAGCGUUGUCCGGAAUUAUUGGGCGUAAAGAGCUCGUAGGCGGUUUGUCGCGUCUGCUGUGAAAACUCGAGGCUCAACCUCGGGCUUGCAGUGGGUACGGGCAGACUAGAGUGCGGUAGGGGUGACUGGAAUUCCUGGUGUAGCGGUGGAAUGCGCAGAUAUCAGGAGGAACACCGAUGGCGAAGGCAGGUCACUGGGCCGCAACUGACGCUGAGGAGCGAAAGCAUGGGGAGCGAACAGGAUUAGAUACCCUGGUAGUCCAUGCCGUAAACGUUGGGCACUAGGUGUGGGGCUCAUUCCACGAGUUCCGUGCCGCAGCAAACGCAUUAAGUGCCCCGCCUGGGGAGUACGGCCGCAAGGCUUAAAACUCAAAGAAAUUGACGGGGGCCCGCACAAGCGGCGGAGCAUGCGGAUUAAUUCGAUGCAACGCGAAGAACCUUACCAAGGCUUGACAUACACCGGAAACUUCCAGAGAUGGUUGCCCCGCAAGGUCGGUGUACAGGUGGUGCAUGGUUGUCGUCAGCUCGUGUCGUGAAGAUGUUGGGUUAAGUCCCGCAACGAGCGCAACCCUCGUCCUAUGUUGCCAGCACGUGAUGGUGGGGACUCAUAGGAGACUGCCGGGGUCAACUCGGAGGAAGGUGGGGAUGACGUCAAAUCAUCAUGCCCCUUAUGUCUUGGGCUUCACGCAUGCUACAAUGGCCGGUACAAAGGGCUGCGAUACCGCAAGGUGGAGCGAAUCCCAAAAAGCCGGUCUCAGUUCGGAUUGGGGUCUGCAACUCGACCCCAUGAAGUCGGAGUCGCUAGUAAUCGCAGA